Molecule: long non-coding RNA, 382 nt
Filed under: Numida meleagris (helmeted guineafowl)
Lineage: Eukaryota; Metazoa; Chordata; Aves; Galliformes; Numididae
Description: lncRNA (ENSNMEG00000013989.1)
Source: RNAcentral
GUCCGAAUAGUUUUAGGACAAUCUCGACCUAAAUCAAAAGAUUCUUAACCCUGCUCGCUGAUCCACUUUCCUCCUUCUGGGGAAGGAGGCCAGGAUAUGUUUCUGUACCCAGCUGCUGACAUGGCAGGAAGCAGUUCUCAGGGAAGUCCCGCAGCUGUCCUCUGGUAAUGGUGGUCAUAAAGCUGAAGCCUUCACCGGCCUCUGUGUACUGGAGGACUUGCACACCAACUGAACCUGCACGCUUGCAUAUCAGAAUUAGAGGACCGAUAAAGGAGAGAGCUGUGAAGGUUAGGACACUUUUUCCCUUAUAACAGCUACACUGGGGCCAAGAGUAGCUGAAGCACUAAUUGACUCAGCCAAUGCAUUUUCUACUAAACCUCAA